This 4683-nucleotide non-coding RNA is filed under the name Pongo abelii (Sumatran orangutan). Lineage: Eukaryota; Metazoa; Chordata; Mammalia; Primates; Hominidae. The record is from RNAcentral.
UUUCCUGGAACCUGGUUCCCAAAGCGGCAGUCGUUCCGUGGUCUCCACGGCGGUGCAGCGUCAGCCUCCUCGCUUUUCACGGUCGGCUCGGGCGUCCUUUCGGAAUGCCUUCCUCACUGACGGUGCUUUAUUAGGAUUUCUCUUGUGCUGAAUUGCCUCCUAGCCUCCUGCUAGCAGUGGGGUGCCGCCUCCUCACCGUAAUUAGGCUCCGCCGAGAGCCCUUUCCCUUCUUGCCAGCCCCAGCAGGCUCAGAGUUGGCCGAAGCCAGGCGGGAGGGGACGGCCAUGGGAACCCAGCGGUGUGACCCCUGCCCUCGGCGACGGGGCCAAGGUGAAGGCCAGAGUUGUUGGCCAGACCCACAUGGAACCUCAAGACGCCCCCCUCGUCUCUCUCGCACCCGGAACGUGAGCCCAGCGCCUGGACGUGCGGAAUUCCUAUCUGAGGAGGGGCCCUGGGGUUAGGUGCCCGUGCCUGGGCCCCCGGCAGCCUAAACCACUCCUUUAAGUGGUCCGACGGGUGCGGGGAAAUGUCCCAUCUGGAACCCAGGGAUCCCCCCCAAGAGUGGCUUCCCUCUGCUCUUAGAUGCGAGAAGGAGGUUCUGAUUUUGCGGACACCUAGGAGGUGGCCAGGGCCAGGCAGGCUCUGCCAGGUGCCCUGCCAGCUUCUGGUCCAACGAGGGAACACUUUGGGAUGAGUGUUACAGGCUUGUCGGAACUCCUCUGGUGACGACUUGUGGGUGGAACACACACAAGUGUAGAGUUAUAGCUGAGGUCUUUACCUUUCCGUCUUCCAGGCAGCCUUCUGUGCCCCUGCUCUGAGAACAUGAGAUUCAUCCUUGAUUCUGGCACACGGGUGUUACUUGGUCACAUGAAAUAAAAGGUUACGGGCAUGGUGGCUCACGCCUGUAAUCCCAGCACUUUGGGAGGCCGAGGCGGAUGGAUCACGACGUCAGGAGAGGCAGGCGCCUGUAAUUCCAGCUACUUGGGAGGCUGAGGCAGAGAAUUGCUUGAACCCAGGAGGUGGAGGUUGCAGUGAGCCAGGAUUGCGCCACUGCACUCCAGCCUGAGUGACAGAGCCAGACUCCGUCUCAAAAAAAAAAAAAAAAAAAAAAAGAAACAGGGUCUUGUUCUGUUGCUCAGGCUGGAGUGGAGCGGUGCGAUCACAGCUCACUGCAGCCUCAACCUCCUGGGUCCUGGGCUCAAGCAAUCCUGCCUCUGCUUCCCUAGUAGCUGGGACCUCAGGCACACAUCAGCACACCUGGCCAACUUUUUUUUGUAUGUUUUUGUAGAGAGGAGAUCUCACUAUGUUGCCCAGUUUGGUCUCAAAUUCUUGAGCUCAAGCGAUCCUCCCACCUGAGCCUCCCAAAGCGCUGGGAUUACAAGCAUGAGCCCCUAUGUCUGGCCCUAAUAAACGGUGUUAGACAACGACAGGAGUGCACGUAAGAGAUCAAAACUAGAAUUUGCAUAAUUAGUAUUAUUUAUUAAGCACCCAGGGAACAGUCAAGACCAAAGUCCCUGCCUGUCCUUGGAAAAAUGUCACCUCUAUAGCAGGUGUCCUAACCCUGGAGUUCGCCCACCUUAGUAAGUCCUUGAAUAGCUCUCUGGGGGAAAUCUAUCAGCUGCCCGAAGAGCUUUGUGUGUAUUUGUACACCAGCAUUUUCCUGAGGAAGGAGGUGCCUGGCUUCAUCAGUUUCUCAAAGGGUCUAGGACCUCAAAAGGGAUGAGAAUCCAGAUAUUUGGAUACCCUUUUUUUUUUUUUUUUUUUGGCAGAGGUGGGGUCUCGCUAUGUUACCCAGGCUGAUCUCGAACUCCUGAGCUCAACCAUCCUCCUGCAUUGGCCUCUCAAACAGCUGGGAUUAUAGUCAUGAGCCACAGCGCCCGGCCCUGAUACCUUUACAUCAGCAUUUCCCAACAUACCGUCUCAGGACCACUUACCUGCACCAGAACUACCUGGAAUAUUUAGGAACAGACUCCUGGCCCCCAACCAAACCUCCUGAGUCAGUCUUUCAGGGGUGGGGACUGGGAUAUUUUGUUUUGUACCGACUCCCUAGGUGAUUUUGAUGCUUAGUCAAAUGAGAACCGUUGUUCUGAGCUAACAUAUAACACAGCAAACAACUAUGUCUGUGUCCUCUCCUUGGGAGAGAACCCCUGAAGUAAGUUGCUUUGUCUGUUUCGUGGGGAGGGGGAGUGUUGGAAAUCCCACUGGGAUGUGUCCUUUCCCCCAUAUGUGGCACUAAUUGAGCUGGAAUAUCCAGGGAGAGGCAGCAGUUCUAGGGAUGGGAGCAAGGCCAGCCAGCCUGCCAGAGACACAGGUGUGGUUUUGGUGGGAGAAUGCUAUGACUGAGUUAAUCCUUCCAUACCAGGUUCCACCCCAACUCCACAACAUCCUGUCUGUCUCCCCAGACAAACCAGCCCAGAUCCUCCUGGGCCCCAGAAAGAUGACACAGCUGCCCCCCCACCCCACCCCCAUCUCCUGGCCUGGACCCACUUGGCUUCCUGUCUUGGAAGAUAAUGGUUGAGAUUCCAGGGCAGAAGUAUUUUUAAGGCUCUACCUAAAACGGCCCCACCCCAGCUUCAUUCCUCCUCCAUCUUGUCCCGCACUUCUGCCGGCAGACCCUGGUAAAGGGUGUCUUCCACCAGGAGCCCCGCCUUCUUGAGCCCCCCACAGUUGCCAAGUUCUUCUGGCAGCGCCUCUAAGUGGUUGCCUUUGAGCUCCAGGCGGCUGAGGGCCCUGAGGGCACCCACGUGGGGCGAGAGCUGGCUCAGCUGGUUGUCGCCCAGAAGCAACGUCCGCAGCUUGCGGCAGAAGAAGAGCUCUUCGGGCAGGGCCUCCAGGGCAUUGUAGGAGAGGGCCAGGUGCUGUAGGUUCUGCAGGAGGCCCACCUCGGGUGGCAGGGAGUGUAGCCCGUUGUGGGACACAUCCAGCAGACGGAGGCCUGAGCACAGGCCGAGCUGGGAGGGCAGGGUCUCCAGCUUGUUGUAGCUCAGGUAGAGCUGCUCCAGGCUCCUGAGCUUCCGCACGUGCUCAGGGACGUAGGCUAUCUGGUUGUGCCAUAGCCUGAGCGUGACCAGCUUCCGGCAGUGCUGGAAGCUGAGGAUUUCCUCGAUGGAGCGCAGGUGGUUGUCCUUGAGGUCAAGUUCCUGCAGUGCACCUAGGCUGAACACUGCGUGGGGGAUGCGCUCCAGCCCGCAGGCCACCAGCUCCAGCUCCCGCAAUGCCACCAGCUUCUUGAGGCUGUUCAGGGCAACCAGACGGGCCCCAUCGUUGUGCAGGCUAAGCCUCUGCAGGUGGCCGGCAACGUCGGUCACACUGGCUGGCACCUUCCCGGCGUUGCUCCGGAGGGACAACACCUUGAGCUGCUUCAGCUCCCGGAGGCUCUCCAGGGUGGCCGCCCGAGCUAGCUCCUGGGGGAAAAGCCCCUCCAGGUGCAGCUCUUCCAAGCCCCGCAGCCCAAACACCCAAAGCGGCACCUCACGGAGCUCCUCGCAUUUGACGCGCAUCACCUUCAGGUGGUCCCGCAGGAAGACCUGCAAGGAGAAGGGUAGCCUGGCGGGCGAGUGGAGCAAGCUGAGCUCCUGCAAGUGCACCAGCUGCGACAGCCCCGGGGGGAAGGUGAUAUCGCAGAUGGCCUCCAGCCGGAGUGACUCCACCUCACUGAGCUCAAAGACGGUGUCGGGCAGACCCGGAAGCAUGCAGAGGGCCAGCUCCAGCCGGCCCGUGGCAUUGCGCUGCAGCUUCUGUCGAAGCUUCUCGGGCGUCCACUCAUGGUUGAGAUUGAGCUGCUUUAGACGGCUUUCGCUGACCUCGGACAGGAAGACGGCAAAGCGCUUGGAGUAGAGGGAGUCAUACUGAUCGAUGAGAUGUAGCAUGAAGGCGAAGUCGUUCUUGACGUCAGGAAUGUCCCCCAUGCCAGUCUCCUCCCGCACGGAACGGAAGGAGUACUCCUUGAGGGGCCGGUGGAAGAGCCAGUAGAGCGUGUAGAUGCAGGUAAGUCCGUAGAUGCACACAAAGGAGAUGUAACAGAAGGCCAGCUUGGAGAAGAGGUGGGCCUUGGUGUGGUUGCAGCAGAAGCUGGCGUAGCCCGUGACCUCUGACGUCUCCACCCUACAGGCCACCAGGAAACUGAUCUUCUCCACAUAGACCAGGUUGUAGACCAGGAUGGCCAGGAACUUACACACUUUCAGCACCGUCUGUCGGAUGUACAUGGUGUACAGGAUGUCGCCCUCUUCCACGUGCACGCGGAACUUCUUCACCUUCUCAAACAGGGCUUUGGCUUGCUCACCCUCCUUUUUGUCCAGCAGGGUGACAACUGGAGGCUCGGUCACCACCUUCUCCGGUUCCGCCAGCACUUUCUCCUUCUCACCCUCCCCUGCCUUCCCCAGCCCGGCCCCUGCCGUGGCCACUAUGGCGGCCGCGGCCCGUCCGGUGGCUGCUGGGCCCUUCUGGUUCUCCCCGGAGACCUCGGAUAGGGCCCUGGUGGUCCAUGGAGAGUCGAAACACUUGCCCAGGAUGGAGAUGAAGUGUUCAAUCUUGGAGCUGGUGCCAGGGAACUUGAACCAGAAACUGGUGCAGACCAUGAAGAUGAGCGUGUGAAUGACCACGAGGUAGGGGAAGUACUUGGCAUACCAGUGCAGGGCCGUCUCGUAGCACAGCUGGUUAAUAAAGCUGUAUUGCUGCAGGUCC